This 517-nucleotide long non-coding RNA is filed under the name Citrus sinensis (sweet orange). RNAcentral describes it as "long non-coding RNA (CSIN_LNC005043)". The record is from RNAcentral. Lineage: Eukaryota; Viridiplantae; Streptophyta; Magnoliopsida; Sapindales; Rutaceae.
UGAAAUCAACGUUGUUCUUGGCGGAAUUAAGAGAAAGCACUGUUCUCAAUAUAAUCAAUGAGAGGAGCAACGCUAUAAUCUGCUUGAAGAUAAGAAUGAAAAUAAUGUCUUAAGUUAAAUAAACAAAAAUUGAACAGAAGUGUACUAACCAAAGAUAAAAUAAAUUGAUUGAUUCUUUCAAAAUUGAGAAUGAAAAUGAAAAUUAUUUGUGCGUUCCUUGUUUGUUGAACAGGAAAUUGAGACUUGGAAUCAAUUAAAUCAAUCUAGGUUGAUUAAAAAUACAAUUAAUUUAACUAUAACCCUAAAUUAUCAAACUAGAAAGAGAGAAGAAAAAAAAAUCAAAAUUAAAGGAAACAAUACCUGAAAUUCGAGAAGCAGCUAAAGCAAGCUAAAAUUCUUCGUGCGUUCUUCUUCGAAAGAGAAUGGAUAUGAAAGUCGAAAUUGAGUGAUUGAUGAAAAAACUGAGAGGUGAUUAUUGAAAAGGAAGUAAUGGGAAUGAGUUUGAAUUUUCUCAAAA